This 330-nucleotide ribosomal RNA is filed under the name uncultured bacterium. Its description in RNAcentral is "bacterial SSU rRNA". It matches the Rfam family "Bacterial small subunit ribosomal RNA", at positions 568 to 898 of the family's 1533-position model. The record is from RNAcentral.
AGCGUAGGCGGAUAGUUUAGUCAGAGGUGAAAGCCCAGGGCUCAACCUUGGAAUUGCCUUUGAUACUGGCUAUCUUGAGUACGGAAGAGGUAUGUGGAACUCCGAGUGUAGAGGUGAAAUUCGUAGAUAUUCGGAAGAACACCAGUGGCGAAGGCGACAUACUGGUCCGUUACUGACGCUGAGGCUCGAAAGCGUGGGGAGCAAACAGGAUUAGAUACCCUGGUAGUCCACGCUGUAAACGAUGAGUGCUAGUUGUCGGCAGGCAUGCCUGUCGGUGACGCAGCUAACGCAUUAAGCACUCCGCCUGGGGAGUACGGUCGCAAGAUUAAA